UUUUGAAAAAAAAAUUUCUGUAUUGAAAUAAUUUAUCUGUUACAACUGCAGCAAUGCAACUGCUAUCAUACGUAAGAGCAAUGUGGUAAACAAUUCAUUAGCCCCUUUUGUGCCCUCCUUUUCGUCAAGGGGACCUAAUCCUAUUACACCUGACAUUCUAAAGGUAAUUGAAAUGGACUAUUUUUAUUCACUUUGGCCUAUUAAUCUAUGGAUAAUCUUAUCAGAACCUUUCAAUGUGAAUGCAGCCAGAUAUAGCUGCCCCAGGAGUUGACAUUAUAGCCGCGUGGUCUCUAGCUUCUUCUGUAACCGGGCUUCAG
This 317-nucleotide unclassified non-coding RNA is filed under the name Hevea brasiliensis (rubber tree). The record is from RNAcentral. Lineage: Eukaryota; Viridiplantae; Streptophyta; Magnoliopsida; Malpighiales; Euphorbiaceae.